UACGGAGGAUCCGAGCGUUAUCCGGAUUUAUUGGGUUUAAAGGGUGCGCAGGCGGACUGGUAAGUCAGGGGUGAAAUUCUACGGCUCAACUGUAGGCGUGCCUUUGAUACUGCCGGACUAGAGUUAAGUUGGAGUGGGCGGAAUGUGUUGUGUAGCGGUGAAAUGCUUAGAUAUAACACAGAACACCGAUCGCGAAGGCAGCUCACUAAACUUAGACUGACGCUCAUGCACGAAAGCGUGGGGAUCAAACAGGAUUAGAUACCCUGGUAGUCCACGCUGUAAACGAUGAUCACUCGCUGUUGGCGAUAUACAGUCAGUGGCUAAGCGAAAGUGAUAAGUGAUCCACCUGGGGAGUACGACCGCAAGGUUGAA
This 372-nucleotide ribosomal RNA is filed under the name uncultured bacterium. RNAcentral describes it as "bacterial SSU rRNA". It matches the Rfam family "Bacterial small subunit ribosomal RNA", at positions 524 to 898 of the family's 1533-position model. The record is from RNAcentral.